Molecule: ribosomal RNA, 392 nt
Filed under: uncultured bacterium
Lineage: Bacteria
Description: partial 16S ribosomal RNA
Rfam family: Bacterial small subunit ribosomal RNA
Source: RNAcentral
AUACGGAGGAUCCGAGCGUUAUCCGGAUUUAUUGGGUUUAAAGGGUGCGCAGGCGGCCAUUUAAGUCAGCGGUUAAAUCGUGGGGCUCAACCCCAUUCUGCCGUUGAUACUGGGUGGCUUGAUUGCGGUCGAGGUUGGCGGAAUUCGUCGUGUAGCGGUGAAAUGCAUAGAUAUGACGAAGAACACCGAUUGCGUAGGCAGCUGACCAGACCGCAAAUGACGCUCAUGCACGAAAGUGCGGGGAUCGAACAGGAUUAGAUACCCUGGUAGUCCGCACAGUAAACGAUGAAUACUUGUUUUCGGCGAUAUAAUGUCGGAGGCAAAGCGAAAGCGAUAAGUAUUCCACCUGGGGAGUACGCCGGCAACGGUGAAACUUAAAGGAAUUGACGGGG